AUACCAGCUGGCUGCAACUGUUUAUUAAAAACACAGCACUGUGCAAACACGAAAGUGGACGUAUACGGUGUGACGCCUGCCCGGUGCCGGAAGGUUAAUUGAUGGGGUUAUCCGUAAGGAGAAGCUCUUGAUCGAAGCCCCGGUAAACGGCGGCCGUAACUAUAACGGUCCUAAGGUAGCGAAAUUCCUUGUCGGGUAAGUUCCGACCUGCACGAAUGGCGUAAUGAUGGCCAGGCUGUCUCCACCCGAGACUCAGUGAAAUUGAACUCGCUGUGAAGAUGCAGUGUACCCGCGGCAAGACGGAAAGACCCCGUGAACCUUUACUAUAGCUUGACACUGAACACUGGUCCUUGAUGUGUAGGAUAGGUGGGAGGCUUUGAAGUGUGGACGCCAGUCUGCAUGGAGCCAUCCUUGAAAUACCACCCUUUAAUGGCUGGUGUUCUAACGUGGACCCGUUACCCGGGUUGCGGACAGUGUCUGGUGGGUAGUUUGACUGGGGCGGUCUCCUCCUAAAGAGUAACGGAGGAGCACGAAGGUUAGCUAAUCCUGGUCGGACAUCAGGAGGUUAGUGCAAAGGCAUAAGCUAGCUUGACUGCGAGAGUGACGGCUCGAGCAGGUGCGAAAGCAGGUCUUAGUGAUCCGGUGGUUCUGAAUGGAAGGGCCAUCGCUCAACGGAUAAAAGGUACUCCGGGGAUAACAGGCUGAUACCGCCCAAGAGUUCAUAUCGACGGCGGUGUUUGGCACCUCGAUGUCGGCUCAUCACAUCCUGGGGCUGAAGUAGGUCCCAAGGGUAUGGCUGUUCGCCAUUUAAAGUGGUACGCGAGCUGGGUUUAGAACGUCGUGAGACAGUUCGGUCCCUAUCUGCCGUGGGCGCUGGAGAAUUGAGGGGGGCUGCUCCUAGUACGAGAGGACCGGAGUGGACGCAUCACUGGUGUUCGGGUUGUCAUGCCAAUGGCAUUGCCCGGUAGCUAAAUGCGGAAGAGAUAAGUGCUGAAAGCAUCUAAGC
This 1006-nucleotide ribosomal RNA is filed under the name Citrobacter freundii. RNAcentral's name for it is "partial 23S ribosomal RNA". It matches the Rfam family "Bacterial large subunit ribosomal RNA", at positions 1783 to 2786 of the family's 2925-position model. The record is from RNAcentral. Lineage: Bacteria; Pseudomonadati; Pseudomonadota; Gammaproteobacteria; Enterobacterales; Enterobacteriaceae.